Molecule: ribosomal RNA, 650 nt
Filed under: uncultured Glomus
Lineage: Eukaryota; Fungi; Glomeromycota; Glomeromycetes; Glomerales; Glomeraceae
Description: SSU rRNA
Rfam family: Eukaryotic small subunit ribosomal RNA
Source: RNAcentral
AAGCUCGUAGUUGAAUUUCGGGAUCAAAUUGUCGGUCGUGCCUCGGUACGUACUGGCGUUAUUGGUUCCUCCCUUCUGAAGAACCGCGAUGUCAUUAAUUUGGUGUCGCGGGGAAUCAGGACUGUUACUUUGAAAAAAUUAGAGUGUUUAAAGCAGGCUCGCGCUUGAAUACAUUAGCAUGGAAUAAUGAAAUAGGACGUUUGAUUCUAUUUUGUUGGUUUCUAGGAUCGACGUAAUGAUUAAUAGGGAUAGUUGGGGGCAUUAGUAUUCAAUUGUCAGAGGUGAAAUUCUUGGAUUUAUUGAAGACUAACUACUGCGAAAGCAUUUGCCAAGGAUGUUUUCAUUAAUCAAGAACGAAAGUUAGGGGAUCGAAGACGAUCAGAUACCGUCGUAGUCUUAACCAUAAACUAUGCCGACUAGGAAUCAGACGAUGUUAAUUUUUUAAUGACUCGUUUGGCACCUUACGGGAAACCAAAGUGUUUGGGUUCCGGGGGGAGUAUGGUCGCAAGGCUGAAACUUAAAGGAAUUGACGGAAGGGCACCACCAGGGGUGGAGCCUGCGGCUUAAUUUGACUCAACACGGGGAAACUCACCAGGUCCAGACAUAGUAAGGAUUGACAGAUUGAGAGCUCUUUCUUGAUUCUAUGGGUG